GACGAACGCUGGCGGCGUGCUUAACACAUGCAAGUCGAACGGAAAGGCCCUGCUUUUGUGGGGUGCUCGAGUGGCGAACGGGUGUGUAACACGUGAGUAACCUGCCCUUGCCUUUGGGAUAACUUCAGGAAACUGGGGCUAAUACCGGAUAGGAGCUCCUGCUGCAUGGCGGGGGUUGGAUAGUCUCGGCGGUUGGGGAUGGACUCGCGGCUUAUCAGCUUGUUGGUGGGUUAGUUGCUUACCAAGGCUUUGACGGGUAGCCGGCCUGAGAGGGUGACCGGCCACAUUGGGACUGAGGUACGGCCCAGACUCCUACGGGAGGCAGCAGUGGGGAAUAGUGCACAAUGGGAGGAAGCCUGAUGCAGCAACGCCGCGUGCGGGAUGACGGCCUUCGGGUUGUAAACCGCUUUCGCCUGUGACGAAGCGUGAGUGACGGUAAUGGGUAGAGAAGCACCGGCUAAAUACGUG
RNAcentral lists this ribosomal RNA (468 nucleotides) under uncultured bacterium. Its description in RNAcentral is "partial 16S ribosomal RNA". It matches the Rfam family "Bacterial small subunit ribosomal RNA", at positions 28 to 507 of the family's 1533-position model. The record is from RNAcentral.